Molecule: long non-coding RNA, 651 nt
Organism: Esox lucius (northern pike)
Lineage: Eukaryota; Metazoa; Chordata; Actinopteri; Esociformes; Esocidae
Source: Ensembl
AAACAGUUUGGUAACAUGCAUGUAAAGUGAAUUUGUCAUUCAUCACCAUGGGGAAAGGCAAGGAACUCUAAUGUUUAGCCUUCCUAAAUCAGGGAGAAUCAAAACCUGUGGGACAGCGGUAAACCUACAUGGAAGAGGAAAGGUUGCAGGAAAAUGCUUCUGAGGGCAACCAACAAAUGUGUCUGGAGUUAAAUGGCUUUGGGAUGGGGAACCAGGUGCUAGGAAAUGAAAUAGAGUUAUUUGGUAACACAUGAGUGGUGGCUUUGGUGUCGAAAGAAGGAUGCAUAUGCAGAACAGAACCCUGUACCUGCUGUAACAUUGAUUGGCUCUCAUUAUGGAGCCAAUCAAUGGGAAAACUGCCAAACCGUCAGGCCUGAGCUUUUUUGUAGGUCAUCUUAAUCAGAGGAGCCAGCAUUUUGGAGGUGACUGCGUUAUGUACGGGCAUUCCACCUGGAAAGGUGAUCAUCUGGAGAAAAAAUAUGGAACAAGAUUUAAACAUAUAGAAAUAUUUAUCUCUGUGCAACAUUCAGGUUACUGAACAUGUCCCAACAGGAUGUGAAUGUUAAUCAACACAGGAAGACGUCGCACAAUAGGACGGUUAAAACCGGCUUCCUCUACUGACAGCGGCCUACUGUCCCCUGAAGACAUGUU